Molecule: ribosomal RNA, 439 nt
Filed under: uncultured bacterium
Lineage: Bacteria
Description: bacterial SSU rRNA
Rfam family: Bacterial small subunit ribosomal RNA
Source: RNAcentral
UACGGGAGGCAGCAGUGGGGAAUAUUGCACAAUGGGCGCAAGCCUGAUGCAGCCAUGCCGCGUGUAUGAAGAAGGCCUUCGGGUUGUAAAGUACUUUCAGUCGUGAGGAAGGUGUUAAGGUUAAUAACCUUAGCAAUUGACGUUAGCGACAGAAGAAGCACCGGCUAACUCCGUGCCAGCAGCCGCGGUAAUACGGAGGGUGCGAGCGUUAAUCGGAAUUACUGGGCGUAAAGGGCACGCAGGCGGUUAAUUAAGUUGGAUGUGAAUCCCCGGGCUUAACCUGGGAAUGGCAUUCAAGACUGGUUAGCUAGAGUCUUGUAGAGGGGGUAGAAUUCCAUGUGUAGCGGUGAAAUGCGUAGAGAUGUGGAGGAAUACCGGUGGCGAAGGCGGCCCCGUGGACAAAGACUGACGCUCAUGUGCGAAAGCGUGGGGAGCGAAA